Molecule: small nuclear RNA, 42 nt
Filed under: Cervus elaphus hippelaphus
Lineage: Eukaryota; Metazoa; Chordata; Mammalia; Artiodactyla; Cervidae
Source: RNAcentral
AUACUCUGGUUUCUCUCAGAUUGUAUAAAUCUUUUGCCUUUU